CCAGUCAUAUGCUUGUCUCAAAGAUUAAGCCAUGCAUGUCUGAGUACAGACCGAUCUAAGGUGAAACCGCGAAUGGCUCAUUAAAUCAGUCAUAAUUCCUUGGGUAGUGAAAAACUUUCCUCGGAUAACUGUGGAAAAUCCAGAGCUAAUACGUGCAACUGAGCUCCGACCUCGGCGCAAGCCGUGGGAAGAGCGCAUUUAUUAGAUUCAAAACUGACCGGCGUACUCCUUCGGGAUACGCCGUUUGUCAAAUGUUUGAUGACUCCGGAUAACUAAGCCGAGCGCUACGGUCUUCAGUACCGGCGCCGUAUCUUUCAAGUGUCUGCCUUAUCAGCUUUCGAUUGUAGGUUAAACGCCUACAAUGGCUGUAACGGGUAACGGGGAAUCAGGGUUCGAUUCCGGAGAGGGAGCCUGAGAAACGGCUACCACAUCUAAGGAAGGCAGCAGGCACGCAAAUUACCCACUCCUAGCCCAGGGAGGUAGUGACGAAAAAUAACGAUGCGAGACUCUUCCGAGGCCUCGCAAUCGGAAUGAGUCUAUUAUAAAUGUAUGGACGAGGAUCCAUUGGAGGGCAAGUCUGGUGCCAGCAGCCGCGGUAAUUCCAGCUCCAAUAGCGUAUAUUAAAGUUGCUGCGGUUAAAAAGCUCGUAGUUGGACCUACUAGACCAUUUCGUGGGCGAGUCGCUCUUUGUAUUAGAGUCUCGCGCGGUUCCUUGAUGAAGUAGCGCGAUAGUUGGGGGUUUGUGUUUGUGUGGGCGAGUGUAUACUCUUUCCUUCGGGUGAGGUGUUGCGCUUCGUUUCUACUACUGCACUUCUUCCUCUUCGCGUUGCCAGUCUCGUGGACGGCGAGAAGCUGACAUCGGGUAUAGCUCGUCCGCGUUUGGUACAAUUAAAAUUUUGUCGGCUCGCUCGGAGUGCUCUUUACCGAGUGUUCCAGGGUGGCCGACACGUUCACUUUGAAAAAAUUAGAGUGCUUAAAGCGAGCCUAUCAAAGGGCCCGAAUGUCUGUGCAUGGAAUGAAGUAACAGGACCUCGAUUCUGUUGUUUUUGUCGGUUUUAAUGAACCGAGGUAAUGAUUAAAAGGGACAGACGGUGGCAUUAGUAUUGCGACGCUAGAGGUGAAAUUCUUGGACCGUCGCAAGACUAACUACUGCGAAAGCAUUUGCCGAGCAUGUUUUCAUUAAUCAAGAACGAAAGUUAGAGGAUCGAAGGCGAUCAGAUACCGCCCUAGUUCUAACCCUAAACUAUGCUAACUAGCGAUCCGCCGGAGUCAUUCCCACGACCCGGCGGGAAGCCCCAGGGAAACCAAAGUCUUUGAGUUCCGGGGGAAGUAUGGUUGCAAAGCUGAAACUUAAAGGAAUUGACGGAAGGGCACCACCAGGAGUGGAGCCUGCGGCUUAAUUUGACUCAACACGGGAAACCUCACCAGGCCCGGACAUCAUAAGGAUUGACAGGUUGAGAGCUCUUUCUCGAUUUGAUGGGUGGUGGUGCAUGGCCGUUCUUAGUUGGUGGAGUGAUCUGUCUGGUUGAUUCCGAUAACGAACGAGACUCUACCUUACUAACUAGUCGGCGGAUCGUAACCCUGAGAUGGUUAGUUAGCAUAGGGGAGUAUUGCCUAGGUAUUGGUUUACUUCUUUCGGUAUAUCGUGGCGGGGGAUAAAAUUGGAUUAGCUUCACUGCGAAAUCUGGUUCCUUCGUUCUCGGUUGCUGGGAGGUGGUGGCUGUAUCGAAGCUUCUCUCCGAUUGCUACUACUGCUGGGGGCGUCCGUCGCAAUAUAUCUUCUUAGAAGGAUCAGCGGCGUAUAGCCGUACGAGAAAGAGCAAUAACAGGUCUGUGAUGCCCUUAGAUGUUCUGGGCCGCACGCGCGCUACAAUGUAAGGACCAGCGUGCUUUCCCCCUCCGAAAGGAGCGGGUAACCCGUUGAAAGCCCUACCCGAUUGGGAUUGGGGAUUGCAAAUAUUUCCCAUAAACGAGGAAUUCCCAGUAAGCGCGAGUCAUCAACUAGCGCUGAUUACGUCCCUGCCCUUUGUACACACCGCCCGUCGCUACUACCGAUUGAAUGAUUCAGUGAGGGCAUCGGACUGGCGCCUUCGGUUUUGAAACAUAGACCUUAGGCUGACGGAAAGAUGUCCGAACUCG
This 2139-nucleotide ribosomal RNA is filed under the name Ketosoma vemae. RNAcentral describes it as "SSU rRNA". It matches the Rfam family "Eukaryotic small subunit ribosomal RNA". The record is from RNAcentral. Lineage: Eukaryota; Metazoa; Arthropoda; Malacostraca; Isopoda; Nannoniscidae.